UACGGGGGGGGCAAGCGUUGUUCGGAAUUACUGGGCGUAAAGGGCUCGUAGGCGGCCAACUAAGUCAGACGUGAAAUCCCUCGGCUUAACCGGGGAACUGCAUCUGAUACUGGAUGGCUUGAGUUCGGGAGAGGGAUGUGGAAUUCCAGGUGUAGCGGUGAAAUGCGUAGAUAUCUGGAGGAACACCGGUGGCGAAGGCGGUUCUCUGGGCAUGUCCUGACGCUGAGGAGCGAAAGUGUGGGGAGCGAACAGG
This 253-nucleotide ribosomal RNA is filed under the name uncultured bacterium. Its description in RNAcentral is "partial 16S ribosomal RNA". It matches the Rfam family "Bacterial small subunit ribosomal RNA", at positions 524 to 776 of the family's 1533-position model. The record is from RNAcentral.